CCUCCUCUCCCCCGAUCCACUUUCCCCCUCGUCCCACAGCCGCCACCCCAAACCCUCUCGCUCCCCCACUGGAUCCCUUCCGUGCCGCCCUGAAAUCUCCUCUCCUCUCAUAUCUGCUCCCGAAUCAAAUCCCCCAUCACCUCCGCCACCCCCACCUACCCCCACCGCCGGCGCGAGCCGCGAGCACGGGAGCGCGAGCGGAUCGAUGGCCGGCGCGGGAUCCUCGUCGGGCGGCGGCGGGGGGAGGGAGGGCGACUGGGACUACGGCGGGUGCGGCAACCGCAACUAUGCCUUCCGCUCCCUGUACAACCGCUGCAAGCAGCUGCGCCUCCUCGUCGACCCCAACACCCCGCGUGACUCCAAGUGGCUCCCCCGCGCCGGCGACUGGAUCUGCAACGAUGCAGAUCUCAUCUCCUCUUGUUCUGCGCCGGCCAGACCAUGAACACUUCAAGCGGAAGGAUGCAUGAUGGGCUGGACGACAAGGUGGAGAUCCUGGACACACAGAGGGGCUACCAAACCGGUGCUGCAGCAACAACGACUUCGCAGCCCAUACAGGAGGUGGACUGCAUACAGUGCCUUGUUAAAUACCACCAUUCUACCCUGCUUUGCAUUCGCAUUUUCAUUUGCUGUCUUUUUGCCACCAUAUGACAUCUUUAAAACUGCUAAGAGAUUCAAACUAAGAGGAAGUCGUGUUCAGUUUCGGUUGGCACUAUGAUAUCAAGUUUCAUCAUGUACUGUUGGUGUUGGUUUGAUCAAAUAAACAGGGGAUUUAUUUACAGUGUUGUUCUGAUGUGCCAGCUCAUACAACAUGCAUUAAGUAUACAGUAUCUUCCAAUUUGAAUCGAACUAGAAGUUGAAUUACUAUUACGUCUCACGUGUGCCUCGGCUGUCAUUUACUCUAUAGAACUAUUAUUAAUUGGCCCUGAUCUGACGCAAUGUUUUCUGGAUGUUAGGAUGAUACGGUGUACUACUCCAUUCUUCAUCGAUUCUCUGUCCCCUUUUACUUGUAGUACAGCCCGCCCAUCUCAGAAUAUUCUAGGACAUCGACCGAACUGUCAUUUAUAUACCACGCGACGUUCCUGUUCAAAAACAGCUAUGGAUACUAUGGCUACACAUUGAACUUGAGCUCAUGAACACGGAACGGCCAACAUUGGAUCCAAGUACAGGAAGAAGAUCAGGAUAGGCGCCGUCUCAUUCUUCACGAUUUUUUGUAUUGUGUGCCUUGAAAAGCAUGGUUGCAACCAUUCCUAAGUUUUUGUUCUUGUUCGAUUUGUAUUUGGAUACAGCAGGUGCUUUGCUCUUGCGCACGUGGUUGAUCCUGAUUGCUGAACAUGGCAGAUGUAUCUUCUUUUGUGUAUCAAUUACAUAGCAGUACUAUGUAAUGGAACAGUCUAUGUACUGUUAUUUUUAGGUUAGGUUGAAGUGAUUGGUAGGCCUUUGUUAAGAAGCGAGCUUCUUUAAAUUUCCGUUGUUAUUUGCACUAUAUUCCACGCACGCCUCAUGUGAAUCUGUGAUCGUAUCCAUAGACCAGUGAAUUUAUUGCACCAUUUGCUUGCUGUGAAGUAUCCAGUAUUUGUUACAUUAUAUCUUUAAGUAGUAAUAUUGAGAAUGGCAAUCAAAUUCUUCAACUGAACUGCUCUUUCAUUGUACCAUGAAAUACUAAAGUUUUGCUAUGUAUAACACUGCUAAAUGUGUUUUUAUGUAUAUAGAAUUGCAUUCAUUUCCUCUUCUUUCAGUAGUUACAUAGCUUGAGGUCUGUGCAUUCUUUUGAAUAGGAUGUACUCUUCUAUGCAGAAGAUCUGAUUUGCACAAACAUAGUUAUCUGCGUGUGUUGCCUGACUUAUCUAUAUACACACUUUGUGGAAGAAAUAGGAUAUAUAUAUGUGAUUAUGUUGCUUCUAUAGUAUAGUUAGUACUCAUGCCCAUGAUCGACCAGGUCCCUGCUCUGUUUCUUCUUCUUUUGCUUCCUGUAUGUAUGUAUGUGUCUGACGACGAAGGUGGUUUCUUCAGAAUUGAUCGAGUCUGACAAAGUUGUUCUGAACAUUUUUUGAAACAGGGCGAGGCCGGAGAUGUCUGUGCGGUGAUGUCCCUGGGGUGGCGCCACUGUGCCCGACGCUUGCCCUGGUCGCCGCAGUGGUGCUUCAACGGCUUCCAGACCCUCUCCUGGAUGUGGUGAUGGUCACACCACAGCCGUGGUGUGGCCGAGCCUCCGCUACAGCUACAACCUCCCUCCGGUGCCCAGUUUGUGCUCGCUACCGAAGGAGCUCCAUGUUGAAGAAGAUUGAAGACACUUGUAGAGCUACAGGGUUAACACCAGGGCAGCUUGUAGAGCUUGUAGAGCUUUUAUAUGUAUAGAGCUUGUAAAUGUAUCAUGUGUAUAGCUUGUAGAGCUUGUAUAUGUUAGAGCUUAUUAUGUGUCGAGCUUGUAAAGUAUAUGUUAUUUGUACAAUAUGAGCUUUGUACUGAAUCUGGCUGAUAAUAUUUGGAGAAUACUGGUUAUUUA
This is an RNA transcript of Triticum aestivum (bread wheat), 2503 nucleotides long. RefSeq lists it as uncharacterized. The record is from RefSeq and is a predicted model, not a curated record. NCBI's taxonomy places the organism in Eukaryota, Viridiplantae, Streptophyta, Magnoliopsida, Poales, Poaceae. The transcript has 4 exons.